Molecule: ribosomal RNA, 404 nt
Filed under: Actinomycetes bacterium
Lineage: Bacteria; Bacillati; Actinomycetota; Actinomycetes
Description: Actinobacteria bacterium partial 16S ribosomal RNA
Rfam family: Bacterial small subunit ribosomal RNA
Source: RNAcentral
UGGGGAAUAUUGGACAAUGGGCGCAAGCCUGAUCCAGCCAUGCCGCGUGAGUGAUGAAGGCUCUAGGGUUGUAAAGCUCUUUCACCGGUGAAGAUAAUGACGGUAACCGGAGAAGAAGCUCCGGCUAACUUCGUGCCAGCAGCCGCGGUAAUACGAAGGGGGCUAGCGUUGUUCGGAUUUACUGGGCGUAAAGUGCACGUAGGCGGACUAUUAAGUAAGGGGUGAAAUCCCGGGGCUCAACCCCGGAACUGCCUUUGAUACUGGUAGUCUUGAGUUCGAGAGAGGUGAGUGGAAGUCCGAGUGUAGAGGUGAAAUUCGUAGAUAUUCGGAGGAACACCAGUGGCGAAGGCGGCUCACUGGCUCGAUACUGACGCUGAGGUGCGAAAGCGUGGGGAGCAAACAGG